This 440-nucleotide ribosomal RNA is filed under the name uncultured bacterium. RNAcentral's name for it is "bacterial SSU rRNA". It matches the Rfam family "Bacterial small subunit ribosomal RNA", at positions 958 to 1398 of the family's 1533-position model. The record is from RNAcentral.
AACGCGAAGAACCUUACCUGGGCUCGAAAUGCUAGUGAAUCCGGCAGAAACGUCGGCGUCUCGCAAGAGACACUAGUAUAGGUGCUGCAUGGCUGUCGUCAGCUCGUGUCGUGAGAUGUUGGGUUAAGUCCCGCAACGAGCGCAACCCUUAUCUUCAGUUGCUACCAUUUAGUUGAGCACUCUGACGAAACCGCCUCGGAUAACGGGGAGGAAGGUGGGGAUGACGUCAAGUCCUCAUGGCCUUUAUGUCCAGGGCUACACACGUGCUACAAUGGCCGGUACAAACCGCUGCAACCCCGCGAGGGUGAGCUAAUCGGAAAAAGCCGGCCUCAGUUCGGAUUGGAGUCUGCAACUCGACUCCAUGAAGCUGGAAUCGCUAGUAAUCGUGGAUCAGCAUGCCACGGUGAAUACGUUCCCGGGCCUUGUACACACCGCGCAUA